This 310-nucleotide ribosomal RNA is filed under the name Lacerta schreiberi. RNAcentral's name for it is "partial 12S ribosomal RNA". It matches the Rfam family "Bacterial small subunit ribosomal RNA", at positions 869 to 1344 of the family's 1533-position model. The record is from RNAcentral. Lineage: Eukaryota; Metazoa; Chordata; Lepidosauria; Squamata; Lacertidae.
CCGCCAGAGAAUUACAAGUGAAAAACUUAAAACUCAAAGGACUUGACGGUGUCCCAUAUCGACCUAGAGGAGCCUGUCCUAUAAUCGAUACUCCACGUUUCACCCAACCCCAACUAGCACAAUAUCAGCCUAUAUACCGCCGUCGACAGCCUACCCUAUGAAGGUCUAACAGUAGACAUAACAGCCCUACCGCUAGUACGUCAGGUCAAGGUGUAGCAAAUGUUGGGGAAGAGAUUGGCUACAUUUUUUAUAAUAAAAAACACGAAAAGUACUAUGAAACUGUACAUGAAGGUGAAUUUAGUAGUAAAAU